UACGGGGGGGGCAAGCGUUGUUCGGAAUUACUGGGCGUAAAGGGCUCGUAGGCGGCCAACUAAGUCGGACGUGAAAUCCCUCGGCUUAACCGGGGAACUGCGUCCGAUACUGGAUGGCUUGAGUUUGGGAGAGGGGUGCGGAAUUCCAGGUGUAGCGGUGAAAUGCGUAGAUAUCUGGAGGAACACCGGUGGCGAAGGCGGCAUCCUGGACCAACACUGACGCUGAUGAGCGAAAGCCAGGGGAGCAAACGGG
This 253-nucleotide ribosomal RNA is filed under the name uncultured bacterium. RNAcentral's name for it is "partial 16S ribosomal RNA". It matches the Rfam family "Bacterial small subunit ribosomal RNA", at positions 524 to 776 of the family's 1533-position model. The record is from RNAcentral.